Molecule: ribosomal RNA, 465 nt
Filed under: uncultured Klebsiella sp.
Lineage: Bacteria; Pseudomonadati; Pseudomonadota; Gammaproteobacteria; Enterobacterales; Enterobacteriaceae
Description: bacterial SSU rRNA
Rfam family: Bacterial small subunit ribosomal RNA
Source: RNAcentral
CCUACGGGAGGCAGCAGUGGGGAAUAUUGCACAAUGGGCGCAAGCCUGAUGCAGCCAUGCCGCGUGUGUGAAGAAGGCCUUCGGGUUGUAAAGCACUUUCAGCGGGGAGGAAGGCGGUGAGGUUAAUAACCUCAUCGAUUGACGUUACCCGCAGAAGAAGCACCGGCUAACUCCGUGCCAGCAGCCGCGGUAAUACGGAGGGUGCAAGCGUUAAUCGGAAUUACUGGGCGUAAAGCGCACGCAGGCGGUCUGUCAAGUCGGAUGUGAAAUCCCCGGGCUCAACCUGGGAACUGCAUUCGAAAUUGGCAGGCUAGAGUCUUGUAGAGGGGGGUAGAAUUCCAGGUGUAGCGGUGAAAUGCGUAGAGAUCUGGAGGAAUACCGGUGGCGAAGGCGGCCCCCUGGACAAAAACUGACGCUCAGGUGCGAAAGCGUGGGGAGCAAACAGGAUUAGAUACCCUUGUAGUC